This is a small nucleolar RNA of Cannabis sativa, 87 nucleotides long. The record is from RefSeq and is a predicted model, not a curated record. Lineage: Eukaryota; Viridiplantae; Streptophyta; Magnoliopsida; Rosales; Cannabaceae.
UGGCAAUGAUUAAUAUUUAUCCGCGCUUCUGAGUGCACUCAAUGAAGCACAAAAAUAAAUUAUGGUUGAAUUUCUUAGUAUGAGCCA